Molecule: ribosomal RNA, 497 nt
Filed under: uncultured bacterium
Lineage: Bacteria
Description: partial 16S ribosomal RNA
Rfam family: Bacterial small subunit ribosomal RNA
Source: RNAcentral
GAUGAACGCUGGCGGCGUGCCUAAUACAUGCAAGUCGAGCGAACGGACGAGAAGCUUGCUUCUCUGAUGUUAGCGGCGGACGGGUGAGUAACACGUGGAUAACCUACCUAUAAGACUGGGAUAACUUCGGGAAACCGGAGCUAAUACCGGAUGAUAUUUUGAACCGCAUGGUUCAAAAGUGAAAGACGGUCUUGCUGUCACCUAUAGAUGGAUCCGCGCUGCAUCAGCUAGUUGGUAAGGUAACGGCUUACCAAGGCAACGAUGCAUAGCCGACCUGAGAGGGUGAUCGGCCACACUGGAACUGAGACACGGUCCAGACUCCUACGGGAGGCAGCAGUAGGGAAUCUUCCGCAAUGGGCGAAAGCCUGACGGAGCAACGCCGCGUGAGUGAUGAAGGUCUUCGGAUCGUAAAACUCUGUUAUUAGGGAAGAACAUAUGUGUAAGUAACUGUGCACAUCUUGACGGUACCUAAUCAGAAAGCCACGGCUAACUACGUG